CCCUUAGAUGCUCUGGGCCGCACGCGCGCUACACUGGUCGAUGCAACGAGUUUCUUUCCUUGGCCGACAGGCCUGGGCAAUCUUUGAACAUCGAUCGUGAUCGGGAUAGAUUCUUGUAAUUUUUGAUCUUAAACGAGGAAUUCCUAGUAAACGCAAGUCAUCAGCUUGCAUUGAUUACGUCCCUGCCCUUUGUGCACACCGCCCGUCGCACCUACCGAUUGAAUGGUCCGGUGAAAUCUCCGGACUGGCGUGAGUCGGAGCAAUCUGACAAACACCGGAAAGUUGAUUAAACCUUACCAUUUAGAGGAAGGUGAAGUCGUAACA
RNAcentral lists this ribosomal RNA (324 nucleotides) under uncultured eukaryote. RNAcentral's name for it is "partial 18S ribosomal RNA". It matches the Rfam family "Eukaryotic small subunit ribosomal RNA", at positions 1470 to 1796 of the family's 1831-position model. The record is from RNAcentral.